Molecule: transfer RNA, 69 nt
Filed under: Llanolebias stellifer
Lineage: Eukaryota; Metazoa; Chordata; Actinopteri; Cyprinodontiformes; Rivulidae
Description: tRNA-Ala
Rfam family: tRNA
About the family: Transfer RNA (tRNA) molecules are approximately 80 nucleotides in length. Their secondary structure includes four short double-helical elements and three loops (D, anti-codon, and T loops).
Source: RNAcentral
GAGGCUUUAGCUUAAUUAAAGUAUCUGUUUUGCAUACAGAAGAUGUGGGUUAAAACCCCGUAAGUUUUG